GAAAUGCGAUAAGUAAUGUGAAUUGCAGAAUUCAGCGAAUCAUCGAAUCUUUGAACGCACAUUGCGCCCCUUGGCAUUCCGAGGGGCAUACCUGUUCGAGCGUCAUUUCGUAACUCAGGUCUGGCCUGGUGUUGGGCAUGUGGUCUCGGCCAGAGACCCGUCCUAAAGGUGUCGGCGGCGUCAUUCCUGCCUCGAGCGUCGUGGAACUACGUCUGAGCUCGCUUUGGAGGUGGAAGGCGAUCGCCUGCCGUGGCAAACGCAUCCUAAGGUUGACCUCGGAUCAGGUGGGAGUACCCGCUGAACUUAA
Molecule: unclassified non-coding RNA, 307 nt
Filed under: uncultured Ascomycota
Lineage: Eukaryota; Fungi; Ascomycota
Description: sequence contains ITS1
Rfam family: 5.8S ribosomal RNA (bases 1-105)
Source: RNAcentral